UACAACCCUCAAGGACAGGGUAUU
RNAcentral lists this non-coding RNA (24 nucleotides) under Mus musculus (house mouse). Lineage: Eukaryota; Metazoa; Chordata; Mammalia; Rodentia; Muridae. The record is from RNAcentral.